GGAGGGGUGCGAGCGUUAAUCGGAAUUACUGGGCGUAAAGCGCGCGUAGGGCGGCUUGGUCAGUCGGGAUGUGAAAGCCCCGGGCUUAACCUGGGAAUUGCAUCCGAUACUGCCCAGACUAGAGUAUGGGAGAGGGAAGCGGAAUUUCCGGUGUAGCGGUGAAAUGCGUAGAUAUCGGAAGGAACACCAGUGGCGAAGGCGGCUUCCUGGCCCAAUACUGACGCUGAGGUGCGAAAGCGUGGGGAGCGAACAGGAUUAGAUACCCUGGUAGUCCACGCCGUAAACGAUGAGAACUAGAUGUCGGGAGGAUUUGCCUCUCGGUGUCGCAGCUAACGCGUUAAGUUCUCCGCCUGGGGAGUACGCCGGCAACGGUA
Molecule: ribosomal RNA, 374 nt
Filed under: uncultured organism
Description: partial 16S ribosomal RNA
Rfam family: Bacterial small subunit ribosomal RNA
Source: RNAcentral